UGCACUAACUACUGCAAGUCGCUCUGGAUAAGAGCGUCUGCUAAAUGACUAAAA
Molecule: non-coding RNA, 54 nt
Organism: Salmo salar (Atlantic salmon)
Lineage: Eukaryota; Metazoa; Chordata; Actinopteri; Salmoniformes; Salmonidae
Source: Rfam